Non-coding RNA from Camillea tinctor, 131 nucleotides. The record is from the annotation of a GenBank genome assembly. NCBI's taxonomy places the organism in Eukaryota, Fungi, Ascomycota, Sordariomycetes, Xylariales, Graphostromataceae.
GGGCUUGUGGUCUAGUGGUAUGAUUCUUCCUUAGCAUGGAUUUCCGAAGAUAUCCUCCCCAUCGUGGUGGUUUCUUCUCGAUCUGUUCUUGAAUCUGGAAGAGGUCCGGGGUUCAAUUCCCCGCGAGUCCA